Molecule: ribosomal RNA, 482 nt
Filed under: uncultured Oscillospiraceae bacterium
Lineage: Bacteria; Bacillati; Bacillota; Clostridia; Eubacteriales; Oscillospiraceae
Description: bacterial SSU rRNA
Rfam family: Bacterial small subunit ribosomal RNA
Source: RNAcentral
GGCUUAACUAACAUAGCAAGUACGAACGGAAACAACCCUUACGUAAGGAAGUUUUACGGUUACGAACUGAGAGGAGUGUUUAGUUGGCGGACGGUCGGAGUAACGCGUGAGUAACCUAGCUUCGGUAGUGGGAGUAACACAGAGAAAUUUGUGCUAAUACCGCAUAAUGCAGCUGAGUCGCAUGGCUCUGGCUGCCAAAGAUUUAUCGCUCUGAGAUGGACUCGCGUCUGAUUAGCUAGUUGCGGGGUAACGGCCCACCAAGGCGACGAUCAGUAGCCGGACUGAGAGGUUGGCCGGCCACAUUGGGACUGAGACACGGCCCAGACUCCUACGGGAGGCAGCAGUGGGGAAUAUUGGGCAAUGGGCGCAAGUCUGACCCAGCAACGCCGCGUGAAGGAAGAAGGCUUUCGGGUUGUAAACUUCUUUUCUCAGGGACGAAGCAAGUGACGGUACCUGAGGAAUAAGCCACGGCUAACUACGUG